GAUGAACGCUGGCGGCGUGCUUAAUACAUGCAAGUCGAGCGGACAGGCCCGGCUCUUGUGGGUCGCUCGUGAGCCGCACGGGUGUGUGUCACGCGUGUAACACGUCCCUGUCAUUGUGGUAACACUUGGGGACAGCGGAUCUUAUCGCGUAGGAGCUCCUGCUCCGUGGUGUUGGAUAGUGAGUUUCGGCGGUUUGGGCUCGACUCGCGGCUUCUGAGCUUCUUGGUGGGGUAGUGGCUUACCAAGGCUUUGACGGGUAGCCGGCCUGGGAGGGUGACCGGCGACCAUGGGACUGAGAGACGGCCCAGACUGCAACGGGAGGCAGCAGUGGGGAGUAUUGCGGAAUGGGCGGGAGCCAGAUGCAGCAACGCCGCGUGCGGGAUGACGGCCUUCGAGUUGAAAACCGCUGUGGCCUGUAACGAGGAGUGAGUGACGGUAAUGGGUAAGGAAGCACCGGCUAACUACGUG
Molecule: ribosomal RNA, 468 nt
Filed under: uncultured bacterium
Lineage: Bacteria
Description: partial 16S ribosomal RNA
Rfam family: Bacterial small subunit ribosomal RNA
Source: RNAcentral